UACGGAAGGCAGCAGUGGGGAAUAUUGCACAAUGGGCGAAAGCCUGAUGCAGCUAUGCCGCGUGUAUGAAGAAGGCCUUAGGGUUGUAAAGUACUUUCAUCGGGGAGGAAAAACAAAACUAAUAAUUUUAUUUCUUGACGUUACCCGAAAAAGAAGCACCGGCUAACUCCGUGCCAGCAGCCGCGGUAAUACGGAGGGUGCUAGCGUUAAUCAGAAUUACUGGGCGUAAAGAGCACGUAGGUGGUUUUUUUAAAGUCAGAUGUGAAUCCCUGGGCUUAACCUAGGAACUGCAUUUUGAAACUGAAAUACUAGAGUAUCGUAGAGGGAGGUAGAAUUCUAGGUGUAGCGGUGAAAUGCGUAGAUAUCUGGAGGAAUACCUGUGGCGAAAGCGGCCUCCUAAACGAAUACUGACACUGAGGGUGCGAAAGCGUGGGGAGCAAACAGGAUUAGAUACC
Molecule: ribosomal RNA, 455 nt
Filed under: uncultured bacterium
Lineage: Bacteria
Description: bacterial SSU rRNA
Rfam family: Bacterial small subunit ribosomal RNA
Source: RNAcentral